CCCGCCAAAGACAACAUAAAUAAAUACCGCCUUGGUUAAAUACAAAAAUGUCGAGCAAGAUCCUGAAGGUCGUGGUGACUGGUGCCAGCAGUGAGAUCGGCUUGACCAUCUGCUACCUGCUGGCCAAAGGUGACGUGUACGGCCUGACACAGAUGAUGGACCUCGUGCUCGUGGAGAACAGGUCAAGGAUGAAGCAGCUUCGGGGCGCGCUCAGCGAGCUAGGGAUGAGCGACCUGAGGCUGGUGAGGAACUUCGUAUCCACAGACAAUCUCCACCAGGCUUUUACAGACGCUGACGUCAUCAUCUUGUCGGGCGGGCUGUACGCGGCGCCUGGCUACACGCGCAAUGACGUCAUCGGUGUGAACGCGUUAGAGUUCAAGGAGGUUGGUCUGGUCCUGUCAAAAGUGGCCAAGGACAGCGUAAAGAUCUUAAUGGUGGUGGAGCCGCAGAAUAUCAACUUGAUGGUGCUGAGCUAUUUUGCCCCAAGCAUAAAACCCGCCAACCUGACCGGGUUGUCGCGGGUUGACCACAACAGAGCCCAGUCUAUGAUUGCCCGGAUGUUGAACAUCUCAGUGGACAAGGUGUCUCACCUGACUAUGUGGGGGAACAGGUCCCUCAAGAUAUUCCCCGACAUCCGCCAUGCUGUGGUCGAGGUGUGUGGGCGGGUACUUCCGGCCUACGAGGCCAUCAAGGAUGAUUUUUUUCUCAAGUACAAGUUUACAGAGCUGCUUCAGAACAGGGAGGCUGACAUUAUCAAGAAGCGCAAGACGACCUACUGUUCCAUGACUGUGGCCACAGCAGCUGUGCAGCACCUGCGGGACUGGACGCUGGGCACCAAGAAGGACGACUGGACCUCCAUGAUAGUCCUCUCUGACGGCAGCUACGGCAUCGAUAAAGGUCUGGCCUACAGUUUCCCAGUGCAAGUGACGUCACAGGGGGAGUGGGAGAUUGUCCAGGGUCUGGACAUCAACUAUUACGAGAGGGAGAAGUUGGAUGAACGUGUCAACGAGAUCCGGGUGGAGCGGAUGUUCGCCUACAGUAUCCUAGAGCUGCCCGAGGCCAAGCAGGAGGUGGAGAAGGACGACGAGUGUGCCGUGGAUCAGGCCCGGGCCACCAAGUGGAGCUUCGGCCACGCCGACCCCAUCCCGUGCAGCAUCCUGGGGCCACUAGAGCAGGACAGGCUGGGCAGUCUGGACAGAAAUCGGUAUAGCGAGGUACCCUCCUUACCUCCCUUGAAACGGUUGUCAUGACAACGUGUCGCUCGGUUGGUGGCCAAGAUGGCGGCUGGCGUAUUUGUAUUUGUUGAACCAUCGAACCAACAGGCGGACCGUCUGGAAAUCCACAUGUUGAUUGGAAGUCAUUGAUGAGAGACAUCGCUCAAAGAUAGACAUUGUCAAACCAAAGACAUCGUGGAAUCAGAUAGACAUCAUAGAAUCAGACAUCGUGACAUCAAAGAUGUAUACCAUGACAUCAAAUAGACACAUCAAGACAU
This is an RNA transcript of Physella acuta, 1492 nucleotides long. It is a transcript of the gene named malate dehydrogenase, cytoplasmic, with no coding region annotated. NCBI's taxonomy places the organism in Eukaryota, Metazoa, Mollusca, Gastropoda, Physidae. The record is from RefSeq and is a predicted model, not a curated record.